UGGCUCAGUGGAUAGAGCAUGAAACUCUUGAUCUCAAGGUCGUGAGUUCAAGCCCCAC
Molecule: transfer RNA, 58 nt
Filed under: Ursus americanus (American black bear)
Lineage: Eukaryota; Metazoa; Chordata; Mammalia; Carnivora; Ursidae
Also listed under: 2 other names
Rfam family: tRNA
About the family: Transfer RNA (tRNA) molecules are approximately 80 nucleotides in length.
Source: Rfam by way of RNAcentral